AGAUAGAAACCCAAAUUGAUCAUGAGAGGAAUUUCAUCAAAUCAAAACCAUCCAUUCAUUUUGGGAGAUGAAAUGUACAUUUCAUCAAUUCCCUAAAUCCAAUGGUUUUGAUCCAACAAAAGUCAAAUCAACCAUAACCAAGGCUCAAACAGAAAGUCAAACAACACAAGACCAUAAAAGUGGCUCAACAAUAUGUUUAUACAUUUAAUCAAUUAAAAUUCAAUUUAAAAAUGAAUUAAAAUGCAUUUUAAUUUG
Molecule: long non-coding RNA, 255 nt
Filed under: Lathyrus oleraceus (garden pea)
Lineage: Eukaryota; Viridiplantae; Streptophyta; Magnoliopsida; Fabales; Fabaceae
Description: Pisum sativum (pea) long non-coding RNA (PSAT_LNC021518)
Source: RNAcentral